AACAGCAAAGUCCACUCCUGGUUUUGAUGUUUUCUAUUCAUCCCUUUUACUCACUCGAAGCCCGAGCCCUGCUGUCCAGGCCAGGUGCUGGGCUGGCUCUGGGGACCAGCGUAGUCCUAGUAGGCCAGCCCUAUCUGCCUGGAGCCACGGUUGGGUGUGCAUCAUGCAGCCCCCCAUUCUCCUCCAGGCCGCUGUGGACGCGUCCCCACCCUGCGGUUUCUGGGGCCCCAGCUUUCUCUACUGCUUCUUCCAGCAAAGUACCCAUGUUUGGCCUGGAGGCCAUCUGGAGGAACGGCCAAGUGGUGGGCCAUGUCCGGAGGGCUGACUUUGGGUUCGCCAUCGACAAGACCAUCGCCUACGGUUACAUCCAUGACCCCAGCGGUGGGCCGGUCUCGCUGGACUUUGUGAAGAGCGGGGACUAUGCCCUGGAGA
This 432-nucleotide long non-coding RNA is filed under the name Homo sapiens (human). Its description in RNAcentral is "non-protein coding lnc-FAM163B-2:1". Lineage: Eukaryota; Metazoa; Chordata; Mammalia; Primates; Hominidae. The record is from RNAcentral.